UACGAAGGGGGCUAGCGUUGUUCGGAAUUACUGGGCGUAAAGGGCGCGUAGGCGGUCCUGAUCGUCGGAUGUGAAAGGCCUGGGCUCAACCUGGGAACUGCAUCCGAUACGGCGGGACUGGAGUGUGGGAGAGGUUGGUGGAAUUCCCAGUGUAGAGGUGAAAUUCGUAGAUAUUGGGAGGAACACCAGUGGCGAAGGCGGCUACCUGGACCGGAACUGACGCUGAUGCGCGAAAGCGUGGGGAGCAAACAGG
Molecule: ribosomal RNA, 253 nt
Filed under: uncultured bacterium
Lineage: Bacteria
Description: partial 16S ribosomal RNA
Rfam family: Bacterial small subunit ribosomal RNA
Source: RNAcentral